This is an RNA transcript of Salvia miltiorrhiza (redroot sage), 3151 nucleotides long. RefSeq lists it as uncharacterized. The record is from RefSeq and is a predicted model, not a curated record. The transcript is spliced from 5 exons. Lineage: Eukaryota; Viridiplantae; Streptophyta; Magnoliopsida; Lamiales; Lamiaceae.
AUUUUUAUAACGUAUGAAAAAAAAAAAAAAAAAAAAAAACGCGACGAGGAUUAUUGAGCAAUCAAUAAUUAUUAUUUCCAAGUUAUAACUGACUUAGCAAAGUCAUGUUAUUUAUUAAUCGAGAAACAGAAGCAGUUAUAUUUUAUUAGUGCUACUAGAAGUCGAGAAAUUAUUCCGACUGCAACGCAAAUUCAAUCUACGGAUUUAAUCUAGAUUCAUAUUACUGUAUUAGCAUCACCAAGGCAUGAGGAUAUAAUUCAUUUAUUCAUCAAUCUCAUUCUCAUACUUUACAAACUCUUAUAACCAAUUACAGUUUCACCUAUCAAUGCUAUGAAGUAGAUACAUGAAUAUGCUAGACAUAUAUGUAAGCAUACAAUCAUCAUUAUUUUUUUCCACUCCCUAAUGUCUCCUACACUAUACACGCAUAAUCUCCACUUCUCCACUCCACCAACUAUCUCCACCACCUUUUGCUUUCUUCCACUACAUUUUUUCUCACCACCCUUUCCACUCCACUAAUUCCACUACACCAAACUUUCCACCUACUCCCUUCCCCACCACACGCAAGAAUGCAUCUAACAUUCCAUUAUACAGGCAACAAUCUUUUCAUCAUCUUCAUUCUUCACUAAGGAACCGAAGAGCAGCCACGAGUUCUGCCAUAAGCACACUGCUCCGGCAGUGUUUUGCAAGGCGAUUCCAGCCAUCCAAAAGGUCCGGGCGACAGAAAGUGAAGCCGAAGAAGAAACGACUCCACGCCAGCUUUAAGAACAAUUGAGAAUGCCGCCUAAGAGAGGACGCCCUGUGAGAAACAAUAACAAUCGCAGAAACCGUAACGCUGUACCCGAAGAACCACAAGAUGCUCGAGGACAUAACCCAUCCCCUCCGCCUCCGACUAGGAGAGUCGAAGAACUCUUUUUAAGGCAAAAUCCACCUACGUUUGACGGAACGAGUGAACCGGCUGAAGCUGAGAUUUGGGUGCGUGCAAUGGAACGCAUUUUCAACUUUCUACGUUGUACUGAUGAGGAGCGCCUAUCUUGCGUCUCUUUCCAACUAACAGGAUCAGCUGACUUCUGGUGGGAAGCACGUCGAAAAAUUCUGACACCUGAACAAUGGGCAAGUUAUACUUGGGAAGAUUUUAAGACGGGAUUAUAUGAUAAAUAUAUUCCGAAAAGCUAUAGGAAGAAGAAAGAAGCUGAGUUCUACGAGUUGAAGCAAGGAAAUAAAUCUGUGGUUGAAUACGACAAGGAAUUCUGCAACCUGUCUAGGUUUGCUCCGCAACAAGUGGACACAGAUGAGAAGAUGGCAGAGAAAUUUUGUGCCGGUCUACGGUACGAAAUUAAGAUGGCUCUAGCAAGCCACGGAGGACUCUCAUACACGGAGUCUCUGAACAGGGCACUUGACGUUGAAGCUGCAAUGCCGUCGGACAAGUCAGCCCCAUUGUUGAUCUCAACGCCAAAUGAUCCACCAGUAGCCUCACAUACUCUCAAAGGGAAGCGCAAGUGGGACAACAACGAAGACAAUAUCAAUCAGACUAGUAAGAAAGUGUGGCAAGAAUAUGAACGGGCCGAACAGUUUAUUCAACCAAGGCACGAGGCACAGACUAACCUCGAGCGAACUAGGGGUAACCAAGGUCAGAAAGGAGUUUUACCUUGCCCAAAUUGUGGUAAGAUGCAUAGGGGUAUUUGUCGGGCUGGAACUAACGGUUGUUACAAUUGUGGCCAAAAAGGUCACUACUCCACGCAAUGCCCCAAUAGACAACGAGGUUCAGCAGUUGGGAACACCCGCACCCCCUUGCCAGCAAUACGUGGACACUUGCGAAAUCAGCCUCAAUCACAUCAGUGAAAAUCUUAUGGAGACACCGCAGACAAGAAAAGCUACGUGGGAGCUUGAAAACAAGAUGAAGGAAAAAUACCCCGAAUUGUUUUAGCAGAGAUAUGCAAAUUUCGGGACGAAAUUUUUGUUAAGAGGGGUAGUAUGUAGUAGCCCGCUCUUUUAUUUAUGAUAAAAACUAGUAAAUGCAAUUUUUUAUAAAUGAAUCCAGUUUAUGGUUCUGAUUUUUUUUAUCAGAGGCAGAGUUAUUAUUUUAGCGUUAUAUUUUUAUAACGUAUGAAAAAAAAAAAAAAAAAAAAAAACGCGACGAGGAUUAUUGAGCAAUCAAUAAUUAUUAUUUCCAAGUUAUAACUGACUUAGCAAAGUCAUGUUAUUUAUUAAUCGAGAAACAGAAGCAGUUAUAUUUUAUUAGUGCUACUAGAAGUCGAGAAAUUAUUCCGACUGCAACGCAAAUUCAAUCUACGGAUUUAAUCUAGAUUCAUAUUACUGUAUUAGCAUCACCAAGGCAUGAGGAUAUAAUUCAUUUAUUCAUCAAUCUCAUUCUCAUACUUUACAAACUCUUAUAACCAAUUACAGUUUCACCUAUCAAUGCUAUGAAGUAGAUACAUGAAUAUGCUAGACAUAUAUGUAAGCAUACAAUCAUCAUUAUUUUUUUCCACUCCCUAAUGUCUCCUACACUAUACACGCAUAAUCUCCACUUCUCCACUCCACCAACUAUCUCCACCACCUUUUGCUUUCUUCCACUACAUUUUUUCUCACCACCCUUUCCACUCCACUAAUUCCACUACACCAAACUUUCCACCUACUCCCUUCCCCACCACACGCAAGAAUGCAUCUAACAUUCCAUUAUACAGGCAACAAUCUUUUCAUCAUCUUCAUUCUUCACUAAGGAACCGAAGAGCAGCCACGAGUUCUGCCAUAAGCACACUGCUCCGGCAGUGUUUUGCAAGGCGAUUCCAGCCAUCCAAAAGGUCCGGGCGACAGAAAGUGAAGCCGAAGAAUAAACGACUCCACGCCAGCUUUAAGAACAAUUGAGGUUGAGCUGUGAUGGGCGAUGAAGUGUUGUUGCUGAGUGGAGUUUUUGUUGAACUUAAAGUAGGCUCAGAAAGGAUACAUGUCUUCAUACAUGUAUCUCAGUUAUGCAUUCCGCUGUAAACACUGAUUAUUUCAGUUACACCUUCCGUUGCAAACUCUGAUAAUGUUUUAGCCAAGCCCCUAACGAUGCCUUUUUCCUUUUAAGGAAUAUAACGCUUAUACAAGUUCGUUGAGUACCCUUUUUAUGCGAACUAUGCCUUUUUCCUUUUUAAGGAAUAUUUCACGCGUA